Molecule: ribosomal RNA, 120 nt
Filed under: uncultured bacterium
Lineage: Bacteria
Description: partial 16S ribosomal RNA
Rfam family: Bacterial small subunit ribosomal RNA
Source: RNAcentral
GCGCGAGAGGAGCGGCCGAUGCCGGAUUAGCUAGUUGGCGGGGUAACGGCCCACCAAGGCGACGAUCCGUAGCUGGUCUGAGAGGACGACCAGCCACACUGGGACUGAGACACGGCCCAG